GAAUUUAGGGUGAACUGAGGUGGAUUGGGGCGAUUUGGGGUGGAUUGGAGGGAAUUGGGGUGGAUUUGGGGUGGAUUGAGUUGAAUUGGGGCAAUUUGGUGUGAAUCGGAGGGAACUGGGGUGGGUUGGGGCGAUUUGGGUGAACUGAGGGGAUUUGGGGUGAAUUGGGGUGGAUUGGGGCGAUUUGGGGUGAAUUGGGGUGGAUUUGGGGGUGGAUUGAGUUGGACUGGGGCAAUUUGAGGUGAAUCGGAGGGAAUUGGGGUGGGUUGGGGCGAUUUGGGGUGGAUUGGGGUGGCUUUGGUGUGGGUCGCAGGGCCAUUCCAGCAUUACCUGCAGCAGCUCAGCGUCCCCCCCCAGCACGGCGCUGAGCUCCGCUGCCAUCUGCGGCCCCAUGGCGCUCGGGAUGUGGGGCAGCCCCACACUGCCGACCCCACAGAUGGGCUCUGCCCCACAGGGGGGCUCUGCCCUACACACGGGCUGUGCAUUGGCUGCCCGUUCCACCUCUGUGCCCCCAUCGCUGUCGCUGUGGGGCUCCGCGAGUGGGGGCUGAGGGUCGCUGUGGGGCUGAAGGUCGUUGUGGGGCUGAGAGCUGAUGUGGGGCUGAGAGUUGCUGUGGGGCUGAAGGUCGUUGUGGGGCUGACAGCUGAUGUGGGGCUGAAGGUUGCUGUGGGGCUGAAGGUCGUUGUGGGGCUGAGAGCUGAUGUGGGGCUGAAGGUCGCCAGGGGGCUGAGGGUCGAUGUGGAGCUGAGGGUUGUUGUGGGGCUGAAGGUCGCUGUGGGGCUGAAGGUCACCAUAGGGCUGAGGGUCGCUGUGGGGCUGAAGGUCGUUGUGGGGCUGAGGAUUGGUGUGGGGCUGAGAGCCGCUGUGGGGCUGAGGGCUGAUGUGGGGCUGAGGGUCACCGUGGGGCUGAAGGUCACUGUGGGGCUGAGGGUUGGUAUGGGGCUGAAGGUUGCCAUGGGACUGAGGGUCGUUGUGGGGCUGAGGGCUGAUGUGGGGCUGAAGGUCGCUAUGGAGCUGAAGGUUGGUAUGGGGCUGAAGGUUGCCAUGGGGCUGAGGGUCACUGUGGGGCUGAGGGUCACCAUGGGGCUGAAGGUCACUGUGGGGCUGAGGGUUGCUGUGGGGCUGAGGGUUGCUGUGGGGCUGAGGGCUGAUGUGGGGCUGAGGGUCGCUAUGGGGCUGAGGGUUGCCGUGGGGCUGAAGGUCACCGUGGGGCUGAGGGCUGAUGUGGGGCCGAGGAUCCCCGGCUGCGGGCUGUUUGCCCCGGUGCCACUCAGUGCCACCACCCCGCCCCGCUCAGCCCCCCGCUGCCCCCCGCCCCACACAGGGCCGCGUCCCACGGCCCCUCCUACCUGCGCCAGCGGGGCCUCCGUGGGGCUGCGACACCGAGCCGACGCCGAGCCGACGCCGCCAGAGCUGUGGGGCGCCGGCACCCGUUUGUGUCACCGGCACCCGUUUGUGUCACCGGCGCCCGUUUGUGUCACCGGCGCCCGUUUGUGUCACCGGCGCCCGUUUCUGCCCCCCGUUCCCCCCCGGCCCCCAUUACCUCUCUGUGCCGGCGCUGCGUGCGGCGUCCGCCCCUCCGCCAUCGUGCA
Molecule: long non-coding RNA, 1592 nt
Filed under: Phasianus colchicus (ring-necked pheasant)
Lineage: Eukaryota; Metazoa; Chordata; Aves; Galliformes; Phasianidae
Description: lncRNA (ENSPCLG00000015072.1)
Source: RNAcentral